RNAcentral lists this ribosomal RNA (253 nucleotides) under uncultured bacterium. RNAcentral's name for it is "partial 16S ribosomal RNA". It matches the Rfam family "Bacterial small subunit ribosomal RNA", at positions 524 to 776 of the family's 1533-position model. The record is from RNAcentral.
UACGUAGGGGGCAAGCGUUGUCCGGAUUUAUUGGGCGUAAAGAGCGUGUAGGCGGCCAGACAGGUCAGCUGUGAAAACUCGAGGCUCAACCUCGAGACGUCGGUUGAAACCGUCUGGCUAGAGUCCGGAAGAGGAGAGUGGAAUUCCCGGUGUAGCGGUGAAAUGCGCAGAUAUCAGGAAGAACACCUAUGGCGAAGGCAGCUCUCUGGGACGGUACUGACGCUGAGACGCGAAAGCGUGGGGAGCGAACAGG